CCUACGGGUGGCAGCAGUGAGGAAUAUUGGGCAAUGGGCGGAAGCCUGAACCAGCCAAGCAGCGUGCAGGAUGAAGGCCCUCCGGUUUGUAAACUGCUUUUAUACGGGAAUAACGCGCCUUACGUGUAGGGCUUUGCAUGUACCGUAUGAAUAAGGACCGGCUAAUUCCGUGCCAGCCCCCGCGGUAAUAUGGUAGGUCCGGGCGUUAUCCGGAUUUAUUGGGUUUAAAGGGAGCGUAGGCUGCAUGGCAAGCGUGCUGUGAAAUGUCCGGGCUCAACCCGGGGCUUGCAGCGGGGACUGGCGAGCUUGAGUGCGCGGGAGGCAGGCGGAAUUCGAGGUGUAGCGGUGAAAUGCGUAGAUA
RNAcentral lists this ribosomal RNA (361 nucleotides) under uncultured bacterium. RNAcentral describes it as "partial 16S ribosomal RNA". It matches the Rfam family "Bacterial small subunit ribosomal RNA", at positions 338 to 696 of the family's 1533-position model. The record is from RNAcentral.